RNAcentral lists this ribosomal RNA (253 nucleotides) under uncultured bacterium. RNAcentral's name for it is "partial 16S ribosomal RNA". It matches the Rfam family "Bacterial small subunit ribosomal RNA", at positions 524 to 776 of the family's 1533-position model. The record is from RNAcentral.
UACAGAGGGGGCAAGCGUUGUUCGGAAUUACUGGGCGUAAAGGGCGCGUAGGCGGCCUGCUAAGUCGAACGUGAAAUCCCCGAGCUCAACUCGGGAACUGCGUCCGAUACUGGCAGGCUUGAAUCCGGGAGAGGGAUGCGGAAUUCCAGGUAUAGCGGUGAAAUGCGUAGAUAUCUGGAGGAACACCGGUGGCGAAGGCGGCAUCCUGGACCGGCAUUGACGCUGAGGCGCGAAAGCCAGGGGAGCAAACGGG